Molecule: non-coding RNA, 353 nt
Organism: Paramuricea clavata
Lineage: Eukaryota; Metazoa; Cnidaria; Anthozoa; Malacalcyonacea; Plexauridae
Source: the annotation of a GenBank genome assembly
UUAGGUCUAAUAAAUGUAUAUAAAUUUCCACUCGAUAAUUUCCAUCUACAACACCCUUCAACUGAUUAAUUGACAACAUGUCCAGGCAUGAAAUUGAAGACGUUAAUUUACGGCUAAUCGUCGUGGGGACGUGGGCUGUAACUAGCUACUUCUUUCAAUAUUAUUUAUUUAUAUGCCUGCAAAUUGAGGUUUUAAUAGUCUUUAUUUAUUAAACAAGUUUCAUUGUAGGCCGAUUUGUCACGGAAUAUAUCUUGGGAGUGUCAAUUUGACAAUGUUAUAAAGUUUGAAGAAACUGCAGAACAAGAAUUGUCGGUCUUAUUAAUCUAAUACAUGCAUUGCAUGGCAAGCUCCCC